UACGUAGGGGGCUAGCGUUGCUCGGAAUUACUGGGCGUAAAGGGCGCGUAGGCGGAUGGCACAGUCAGAUGUGAAAUUCCUGGGCUUAACCUGGGGGCUGCAUUUGAUACGUGUGAUCUAGAGUGAGGAAGAGGGUCGUGGAAUUCCCAGUGUAGAGGUGAAAUUCGUAGAUAUUCGCAAGAACACCAGUGGCGAAGGCGGCGCACUGGCCCGAUACUGACGCUGAGGCACGAAAGCGUGGGGAGCAAACAGG
Molecule: ribosomal RNA, 253 nt
Filed under: uncultured bacterium
Lineage: Bacteria
Description: partial 16S ribosomal RNA
Rfam family: Bacterial small subunit ribosomal RNA
Source: RNAcentral